Molecule: ribosomal RNA, 1006 nt
Filed under: uncultured bacterium
Lineage: Bacteria
Description: bacterial SSU rRNA
Rfam family: Bacterial small subunit ribosomal RNA
Source: RNAcentral
AGAGUUUGAUCCUGGCUCAGAAUCAACGCUGGCGGCGCGCCUAACACAUGCAAGUCGAACGAGAAAGCCGGGGCAACCUGGUGAGUAAAGUGGCGUACGGGUGAGUAACACGUGGAUGAUCUACCUCCUUGUGGGGAAUAACCCUGGGAAACCGGGGCUAAUACCGCAUAAGUCCGAGAGGAGAAAGCAGCAAUGCGCUGGGAGAGGAGUCCGCGGCCGAUUAGCUAGUUGGCAGGGUAAAAGCCUACCAAGGCAAAGAUCGGUAGCCGGCCUGAGAGGGCACACGGCCACACUGGCACUGAAACACGGGCCAGACUCCUACGGGAGGCAGCAGUGGGGAAUCUUGCACAAUGGGGGAAACCCUGAUGCAGCGACGCCGCGUGAGCGAUGAAGCCCUUCGGGGUGUAAAGCUCUUUCGGCAGGGAAGAUGAUGACGGUACCUGCAGAAGCAGCUGCGGCUAACUACGUGCCAGCAGCCGCGGUAAUACGUAGGCAGCAAGCGUUGUUCGGAGUUACUGGGCGUAAAGGGUGUGUAGGCGGUUGCUUAAGUUUGGUGUGAAAUCUCCCGGCUCAACUGGGAGGGUGCGCCGAAUACUGAGUGACUCGAGUGCGGGAGAGGAAAGUGGAAUUCCUGGUGUAGCGGUGAAAUGCGUAGAUAUCAGGAGGAACACCGGUGGUGUAGACGGCUUUCUGGACCGUAACUGACGCUGAGACACGAAAGCGUGGGUAGCAAACAGGAUUAGAUACCCUGGUAGUCCACGCCCUAAACGAUGCACAUUUGGUGUGGGUCAUUCAGUUGAUCCGUGCCGGAGCUAACGCGUUAAAUGUGCCGCCUGGGGAGUACAGUCGCAAGGCUGAAACUCAAAGGAAUUGACGGGGGCCCGCACAAGCGGUGGAGCACGUGGUUCAAUUCGACGCAACGCGAAGAACCUUACCUGGGCUCGAACGGCUGGCUAACGGCGGUGGAAACAUCGCUACUCCCGCAAGGGGGUCCAGUCGAGGGUGC